RNAcentral lists this ribosomal RNA (253 nucleotides) under uncultured bacterium. RNAcentral's name for it is "partial 16S ribosomal RNA". It matches the Rfam family "Bacterial small subunit ribosomal RNA", at positions 524 to 776 of the family's 1533-position model. The record is from RNAcentral.
UACGUAGGUGGCGAGCGUUGUCCGGAAUCACUGGGCGUAAAGGGCGCGUAGGCGGCGGAGCAAGUCGCAUGUGAAAUUCCAGGGCUUAACCUUGGGGGGUCAUGCGAAACUGCUUUGCUUGAGUGCAGUAGAGGAAAGCGGAAUUCCUGGUGUAGCGGUAAAAUGCGUAGAGAUCAGGAGGAACACCGGUGGCGAAGGCGGCUUUCUGGGCUGCAACUGACGCUGAGGCGCGAAAGCGUGGGGAGCAAACAGG